UGGGGAAAAAAUCCGUGGGACUCCCUCCUCACUGUGCACCAGUAAACAAGAAUUCUUGAGAAAUUGGUCUUUGGGAAGUGGGGGUCCUAGAUUUCUCCGACAUGUAAUUUACUCUAUGUACAGCCAGUCACUGUACUUCCUACUUCAUGUAACCGCUUGCAAAGAGAGUCGCACUUCCCAGCAAACCAAGACACGCUAAAGAAGGUCUGAGGAAGGCAAGGACGCCGUUCAGAAGGGAAACCAACCACGCUUCAUUUCCUGUGGGCUAGGAAGGGCUCUGAGUUCCACAUAUGCCCCUUAUUAGGCCAGUGUCUGAAGAAAUUGGGCGAGUCUAUCACACUGAGGCAGGACGCUGUCUCUUCAGGGCUGAAGGGCUCAGUACGGAAUUGAAAUCGGAGCCACUUUGCUUAAAACUAUGAGCAAAAGUGUGAUGUUCGGCGUUUUUGUUUUCACUCUAUAUCCAGGUGCUGUGCUGGGUGACCGUGACUCGCUCCAGCCCAGGGAACCCCAGAUGUCUGGAGCUGAAGGCGGCUCCGUGACCCUCAGCUGUUCUUAUGAAACCAGCUACCUUGCUGGUGUCUAUCUCUACUGGUACCGUCAGUAUCCGAACCGCGCCCCGCAGUACAUCCUGCGGAGAGGGACGAAGGAAGUCAGCUCCGUCAGUGAUACCGCAGACUUCGCCCAGGAGAGGUUUUCUUCCCAGGCUGGUGGCAGCUCCACAGCUCUGAACAUCACAGCCCUGGAGCUGGCAGACACAGCGGUGUAUUAUUGCGCCCUGCAGCGGGCACAGUGACACAGCCACACAGCAGAGCUGUACAAAAACCCUCCUCUUCCCUUCACCUUCAGGGGCUCUGCAUGGAAGAGGGACCAGAGAGAACGUCCCCAUGACCCUGCAUUCGUCCCCAGUGAGGGAUGCAGCGCUGGGCCACAGCUCAGACACACAGGUGCUGUCCUCCCUGUCAGCAUCUCGCUGAUACAUUUCAGAAUGUGUACACACACACACACACACACACACACACACACACACACACACACCUCUCUUGAAAAUGCCACUCAUCAAAACAAAUGGAUACACGCAUUCACAAAUACCUGUGAUUGAAUGGAGGCCUUCCUUCCUCGGGCUCUUAAAUCCCAGCCCAAAUGUUUAAACGCAGCGGGGUCUGUCUCUACCAGUGUCUGGG
Molecule: non-coding RNA, 1181 nt
Organism: Chelonia mydas (Green sea turtle)
Lineage: Eukaryota; Metazoa; Chordata; Testudines; Cheloniidae
Source: the annotation of a RefSeq genome assembly